CUUUUUUAAUUUAUUCAGUACUGAGCCACAGUUUUUGUUUGAUUUUGGAGUCUUGACUGGUGUUAGAGAGUAGGUCCUCAUUUUAAAACCUUGAAAUCCUUUGCACAGACAGCUGUUUUAGCUAAUCUAAAUUGAUAGACAAAUGUAAAUUCCUCGUGGGAUCUUGGCAGAGCCUUGACAGGAGUAACUGGAUAAUCAGAUUGCAUGUAGAGAGAACUCUCAGCGCAAGUCUUCACACCAAACUGUUUGCUGUUCCAAGGUCUACCAAGGUGUAUACCCGAUACAAAUGCUACAUUGGUAUUUUGAAGCCAUAUACGCUUCACUGAUGACAUUUCUGAAUUCAUCCGCAUAUACACAAUAUGUUUGAAGAGAAAAGAAGAUUCUUCUUUUGAAAAAAUACAAGUUCUCUGGUUUUGCCACCAGCCAGUCAUGGACAAUAGCAUCUUUGGAGGUCACUUGUUAAUGAGCUGAGCACUGGAAGAUGGAAAUGAUUACAAUGGGAUAUGGGUAGAGAGAUUUUAUUCAUGUUUCCAUAGAUUUAUGAAAGCAGGCAUGUGAAAGAAGUCAUGCUUAUCAGCAGCCCAUGCAGAUACUUUUCUUGGAGAUUGACAAG
Molecule: long non-coding RNA, 613 nt
Filed under: Gallus gallus (chicken)
Lineage: Eukaryota; Metazoa; Chordata; Aves; Galliformes; Phasianidae
Description: lncRNA (ENSGALG00010008798.1)
Source: RNAcentral